Molecule: RNA transcript, 2576 nt
Organism: Salarias fasciatus (jewelled blenny)
Lineage: Eukaryota; Metazoa; Chordata; Actinopteri; Blenniiformes; Blenniidae
Gene: rpap2
Gene name: RNA polymerase II associated protein 2
Exons: 12
Source: RefSeq, a predicted model, not a curated record
GCGAGCACGCAGAAGUAGUAGAAGCCAUGGGAAGCUCCGCUAAAAACUCCAGAAAAGAUGGAAAAUACCGUAAAACCCUCACAGCCGAAGAAGAAGCUAAAAGGAGAAAGGAGAUGGCAGAAUGGCUGAGGGAAAAGUACGAGCUGGACAGAAGAGCUCUGAAGGUGGUGGAGCGUCUCCUGGAGGACAGCGUGUCUGAAGACUUCCUGGUUGACUGUGCCAGGUUUAUCACUGCUGCUAAUUACAAGGAUGCAAUCGAGGAGAGAUUCAUCUCUAAGCUGUGCGGGUAUCCCAUAUGUCCAAACAAGCUGGGCAAGAUCCCGACUCAACAGUACAAGAUUUCUACUAAGACCAAUAAGGUGUAUGACCUUACCGAGCGCAAGUGUUUCUGCUGUAAUUUCUGCUACAAAGCCUCCAAGACGUUUGAGCUGCAAAUAUCAAAGACGCCUCUGUGGCUGAGACCCACUGAAAGUCCUGCAACAAUUAAACUGCUGAAGAAAGGAGACGGCGGGGGCUGUGGCGAGGAGGUGAUGCUGAAGGAGCGGCGUCUCAAAGUGGAGGACAUCGAGAACCCGACGGCUGCCCAGACAGAGGACUCUCACCGCUCUCCACCGUCCGUCGGGGACGAGGGUCAGAGCGACAGCGACCGUGAGCAGGAGCAGGACUUCGUCUCCAGCAUGGUCGAUCAGCAGCAGAGACCCCGGGUGCACUGGGGCCCGCUGCCCUCAGGCCCAGCUGAAGACCAGAAAGUGGAACAAGGUCAAACUGAGAGAGGAAAGAAGCAAGUCUCGCUCGUGUCCCAAACAGACCAUAAGCCUGACUCUGACCUGGAGGAGGUGGGAGCUCGGAUUUCUGAGUGCAGAAUCUCAGAGGAAGCAGCUCACGCUCCGAUGCACGCUGACUCGCCUCCCACAGAGGCGGGACGCACCGCGGACCCCCCGACAGAAAUCAAAAAUCCCGCCUCUGAAACUCUGCAGGCCUCAAAAAAGGAUUCGGCCUCACCGAACCAGCAAGCCUUCAGCAUCACCCAGGUGGGCAUGAGCAGGAGAGGAGCUGCAGGGCUGCAGGGUCUCCUGAAAAAACACACGGAACGAGCCAGGCCUCAGUCGCUACGGCAGCGUCUCAUCGAGCACCUGAAGGGAACGCUGAACGACUGGCGCACCGACGAGACCCUGAGGUUCCUGUACGGAGACGCUCGUCCUCCCGGCUCUCCGUUCGCUGACGUCCAAGAGGAAGAGGAGGAGGAGCUGGAUGAAGACGACCUCGAGGACGAGCCGCCUGCGGUGGAUGCCAGACGGAGUAAGAGCCCGUCUGCCGCGGCGCCGGACUACGACACGCUGCGGCGGGAGACGGAGCAUCUGGAGCUCCGGGUCCGGGAGUUUUAUCAGGGCAGGUGUAUUCUGCCUGAGGAGGUGACUGUUCAGGAGCAGAGAGAGAGGAGGGAUCCCUCUCUGCCGCUCAGCGACUCGCAGGCUCAGCGUCUCAUUCAGAAGAAAAUCGCAGUGGAGAAGCUCUCCAGCUGUCUGAAAAACAUCGUGGGUCCGCUGCGCCUCGCCAUGAGCGACGUCUCCAGCCACCUGAACAACCUGGUCCGGACGUUCAGGCAGUGAUUUCUUGAAGGAUUUGUUCUAAAUGUCACAACACUGAGGGCUAUUAAAUGAACUCCAGCGCCCCCCAGAGGUCAGCAUGAAACACGACAAGACCUGUGGUUUUAUUGCAUUCACCAAUUGUUCCAGAACUUCUUUCGAAUGUGUGAACUCUCUACAGCCUUCAGACGGUUGUGUCUAUCUUCUGUUACUUUUCAUGACUCUUAUUUUCCAGACCUGCAGUUACUGAGCUUCCUUUUUCACACUGACAGACAAAAGAACCACCUAAUGCACUGUUUUAAUGUGGAAAAGUAAGUUACACAUCAAACACACCAACGGAGACCAAAGUCUUAAAGUGUGUUCAGGGCCUGCCUGGAUGACAGAGCUGGGAUUGAUAAUAGAAUUAAAGAAAAGUUGUGCCAGAAGUCAGGACUUCCUGCUCUCCGACGGCUCCUCUUCUCCUAUUGGCUGGUCUGGAUGUUUUCAGCAACCCUGCUAUUAAAUCACUGAGUCUGAGAUUUAAAAGCAGGUCGGGCAGCAGAGUAGCACCUCCCGCUUCCAGGAAUUCUCUCCACGCUGUCGGGAGGCCCUGCUCGACGGGAGGCUCGGUCCAGGGAGCGUCCACAGCCCUGUCAGAAAGACGCACGGCGCCGCGGCGCUCACAGGCGCCGCUGUUUGUGGUUGCUUUAACCCGGCGCGCAGUUUGUUUCCUCAUUCGUGUGGUGCUUUUGUCACAUCAGCUUGAAGAUGUCUUCACAGAAUAAAGAAUGAAGACAUGUUUGAUUGAAUAGAAAAGAAAAGGACUGUUCCUGCUGUACUGAUCAGCUUGUUUCGUCCACAGGCUCACCAACACAAACAUCAUCCACAGAACUCCCGAGUGGACCCUCAUCGCCGUGAUCCUCCUGCACCUGCUGUCAGACGUGUCCCCGGUGCUGCGUGAAGCCCUGCAGACGUCGGCCUCAGUGGAGUAUUUGAACACGCUGAUGGAGG